Molecule: ribosomal RNA, 727 nt
Filed under: uncultured Rhizophagus
Lineage: Eukaryota; Fungi; Glomeromycota; Glomeromycetes; Glomerales; Glomeraceae
Description: SSU rRNA
Rfam family: Eukaryotic small subunit ribosomal RNA
Source: RNAcentral
GUUAGGGCACGACACCGGAGAGGGAGCCUGAGAAACGGCUACCACAUCCAAGGAUGGCAGCAGGCGCGCAAAUUACCCAAUCCCGACACGGGGAGGUAGUGACAAUAAAUAACAAUACGGGGUUCUUUAGGAUCUCGUAAUUGGAAUGAGUACAAUUUAAAUCUCUUAACGAGGAACAAUUGGAGGGCAAGUCUGGUGCCAGCAGCCGCGGUAAUUCCAGCUCCAAUAGCGUAUAUUAAAGUUGUUGCAGUUAAAAAGCUCGUAGUUGAAUUUCGGGGUUAGUAGGUUGGUCAUGCCUCUGGUAUGUACUGGUCUCACUGAUUCCUCCUUCCUGAUGAACCUUAAUGCCAUUUAUUUGGUGUUUUGGGGAAUUUGGACUGUUACUUUGAAAAAAUUAGAGUGUUUAAAGCAAGCUAACGCUUGAAUACAUUAGCAUGGAAUAAUGAAAUAGGACGUUCGAUCCUAUUUUGUUGGUUUCUAGGAUUGACGUAAUGAUUAAUAGGGAUGGUUGGGGGCAUUAGUAUUCAAUUGUCAGAGGUGAAAUUCUUGGAUUUAUUGAAGACUAACUACUGCGAAAGCAUUUGCCAAGGAUGUUUUCAUUAAUCAAGAACGAAAGUUAGGGGAUCGAAGACGAUCAGAUACCGUCGUAGUCUUAACCAUAAACUAUGCCGACUAGGAUCGGAUGAUGUUAAUUUUUUAAUGACUCAUCGGCGCCUUACGGGAAACC